Molecule: ribosomal RNA, 258 nt
Filed under: Triticum aestivum (bread wheat)
Lineage: Eukaryota; Viridiplantae; Streptophyta; Magnoliopsida; Poales; Poaceae
Description: partial small subunit ribosomal RNA
Source: RNAcentral
AUGUCGUCGGCAAAGAUAUGCAUUACCACCAUGAUUGUGCUAGUGUUGCUGCUUGAAGCCACCGUUGAUGCCGGCUUUAGGAUGGGGAGUGGUUUUUGUCAAAGCGACCAUGGCUUGGUGGAUUGCCAAACCUUGUCAACUAGCACAAGCAAGUAUGGCAACAAGCAAACAUGGCCGAUUGUGUGGCCAGUGUGGUUCGCAAAGUGCCCACAAGGAAAACGCUUCUGGUGCACCGAGAGAUGGUGUGCCUGUAUCUAG